AGAGUUUGAUCCUGGCUCAGGACGAACGCUGGCGGCGUGCCUAAUACAUGCAAGUAGAACGCUGAAGAGAGGAGCUUGCUCUUCUUGGAUGAGUUGCGAACGGGUGAGUAACGCGUAGGUAACCUGCCUUGUAGCGGGGGAUAACUAUUGGAAACGAUAGCUAAUACCGCAUAACAAUGGAUGACACAUGUCAUUUAUUUGAAAGGGGCAAUUGCUCCACUACAAGAUGGACCUGCGUUGUAUUAGCUAGUAGGUGAGGUAAUGGCUCACCUAGGCGACGAUACAUAGCCGACCUGAGAGGGUGAUCGGCCACACUGGGACUGAGACACGGCCCAGACUCCUACGGGAGGCAGCAGUAGGGAAUCUUCGGCAAUGGGGGCAACCCUGACCGAGCAACGCCGCGUGAGUGAAGAAGGUUUUCGGAUCGUGAAGCUCUGUUGUAAGUCAAGAACGGGUGUGAGAGUGGAAAGUUCACACUGUGACGGUAGCUUAUCAGAAAGGGACGGCUAACUACGUGCCAGCAGCCGCGGUAAUACGUAGGUCCCGAGCGUUGUCCGGAUUUAUUGGGCGUAAAGCGAGCGCAGGCGGUUUGAUAAGUCUGAAGUUAAAGGCUGUGGCUCAACCAUAGUUCGCUUUGGAAACUGUCAAACUUGAGUGCAGAAGGGGAGAGUGGAAUUCCAUGUGUAGCGGUGAAAUGCGUAGAUAUAUGGAGGAACACCGGUGGCGAAAGCGGCUCUCUGGUCUGUAACUGACGCUGAGGCUCGAAAGCGUGGGGAGCGAACAGGAUUAGAUACCCUGGUAGUCCACGCCGUAAACGAUGAGUGCUAGGUGUUGGAUCCUUUCCGGGAUUCAGUGCCGCAGCUAACGCAUUAAGCACUCCGCCUGGGGAGUACGACCGCAAGGUUGAAACUCAAAGGAAUUGACGGGGGCCCGCACAAGCGGUGGAGCAUGUGGUUUAAUUCGAAGCAACGCGAAGAACCUUACCAGGUCUUGACAUCCCGAUGCUAUUUCUAGAGAUAGAAAGUUACUUCGGUACAUCGGUGACAGGUGGUGCAUGGUUGUCGUCAGCUCGUGUCGUGAGAUGUUGGGUUAAGUCCCGCAACGAGCGCAACCCCUAUUGUUAGUUGCCAUCAUUCAGUUGGGCACUCUAGCGAGACUGCCGGUAAUAAACCGGAGGAAGGUGGGGAUGACGUCAAAUCAUCAUGCCCCUUAUGACCUGGGCUACACACGUGCUACAAUGGUUGGUACAACGAGUUGCGAGUCGGUGACGGCGAGCUAAUCUCUUAAAGCCAAUCUCAGUUCGGAUUGUAGGCUGCAACUCGCCUACAUGAAGUCGGAAUCGCUAGUAAUACGCGGAUCAGCACGCCGCGGUGAAUACGUUCCCGGGCC
Molecule: ribosomal RNA, 1389 nt
Filed under: uncultured bacterium
Lineage: Bacteria
Description: 16S ribosomal RNA
Rfam family: Bacterial small subunit ribosomal RNA
Source: RNAcentral